AACGAACGCUGGCGGCAUGCCUAACACAUGCAAGUCGAACGAUUGCCUUCGGGUGAUAGUGGCGCACGGGUGCGUAACGCGUGGGAAUCUGCCCUUAGGUUCGGAAUAACAGCUGGAAACGGCUGCUAAUACCGGAUGAUAUCGCGAGAUCAAAGAUUUAUCGCCUGAGGAUGAGCCCGCGUUGGAUUAGGUAGUUGGUGGGGUAAAGGCCUACCAAGCCGACGAUCCAUAGCUGGUCUGAGAGGAUGAUCAGCCACACUGGGACUGAGACACGGCCCAGACUCCUACGGGAGGCAGCAGUGGGGAAUAUUGGACAAUGGGCGCAAGCCUGAUCCAGCAAUGCCGCGUGAGCGAUGAAGGCCCUAGGGUUGUAAAGCUCUAUUACCCGGGAAGAUAAUGACUGUACCGGGAGAAUAAGCCCCGGCUAACUCCGUG
Molecule: ribosomal RNA, 435 nt
Filed under: uncultured bacterium
Lineage: Bacteria
Description: partial 16S ribosomal RNA
Rfam family: Bacterial small subunit ribosomal RNA
Source: RNAcentral